AGUGACCGCUGGCGGUAGGCCUAACACAUGCAAGUCGAACGGCAGCACAGUAAGAGCUUGCUCUUACGGGUGGCGAGUGGCGGACGGGUGAGGAAUACAUCGGAAUCUACUUUUUCGUGGGGGAUAACGUAGGGAAACUUACGCUAAUACCGCAUACGCCCUACGGGUGAAAGCAGGGGAUCUUCGGACCUUGCGCGAUUGAAUGAGCCGAUGUCGGAUUAGCUAGUUGGCGGGGUAAAGGCCCACAAAGGCGACGAUCCGUAGCUGGUCUGAGAGGAUGAUCAGCCACACUGGAACUGGGACACGGUCCAGACUCCUACGGGAGGCAGCAGUGGGGAAUAUUGGACAAUGGGCGCAAGCCUGAUCCAGCCAUACCGCGUGGGUGAAGAAGGCCUUCGGGUGGUAAAGCCCGUUUGUUGGGAAAGAAAAGCAGCAGGUUAAAACCCCGCUGUUCUGACGGUACCCAAAGAAUAAGCACCGGCUAACUUCGUG
RNAcentral lists this ribosomal RNA (492 nucleotides) under uncultured bacterium. RNAcentral's name for it is "partial 16S ribosomal RNA". It matches the Rfam family "Bacterial small subunit ribosomal RNA", at positions 29 to 507 of the family's 1533-position model. The record is from RNAcentral.